CCUACGGGAGGCAGCAGUGGGGAAUAUUGCGCAAUGGGCGAAAGCCUGACGCAGCGACGCCGCGUGAGGGAUGAAGGUCUUCGGAUCGUAAACCUCUGUCAGCAGGGAAGAAAAGUCACUGUGCUAAUCAGCAGUGAAUUGACGGUACCUGCAAAGGAAGCACCGGCUAACUCCGUGCCAGCAGCCGCGGUAAUACGGAGGGUGCGAGCUUGAAUCGGAUUUACUGGGCGUAAAGCGCUCGUAGGCGGUAUGUCAAGUCAAGGGGGAAAUCCCCGCGCUCAACGUGGGAACUGCCUUUGAAACUGGCAAACUGGAGUGUGUGAGAGGAUAGUGGAAUUCCAGGUGUAGGAGUGAAAUCCGUAGAUAUCUGGAGGAACAUCAGUGGCGAAGGCGACUAUCUGGCACAUAACUGACGCUGAGGAGCGAAAGCGUGGGUAGCAAACAGGAUUAGAUACCCGAGUAGUC
Molecule: ribosomal RNA, 465 nt
Filed under: uncultured bacterium
Lineage: Bacteria
Description: partial 16S ribosomal RNA
Rfam family: Bacterial small subunit ribosomal RNA
Source: RNAcentral